RNAcentral lists this long non-coding RNA (471 nucleotides) under Eutrema salsugineum. RNAcentral's name for it is "long non-coding RNA (ESAL_LNC000466)". Lineage: Eukaryota; Viridiplantae; Streptophyta; Magnoliopsida; Brassicales; Brassicaceae. The record is from RNAcentral.
CGGAUAGACCGGCGGUGUCCCAACCGUAGUCUCCGGGGUAUUCUCCGGUUAGGUACGACGGUGUGUUUUCUGAGAAUGGUCCUAAGUACUUGGGACGGUCUGGUCCGUACCUGUCACGUGUGGUUAAUGGUGAUUAGUUAGAUUAAAACUGAGGAAACAAAAAAAAACACGGAUUGAUCAUUUUGUCCGGAUAAACCGGUUUGAUGCGAUCCAGAAAACCGAACUGAGUUCAACACAUGAGCUUUAUUCAUUUUAAGAUAUUAAAAAAAAAGGAAAACCGGAGAGCGAGAUUGAGGAUGGAACCAAAUGCUCUGAGGAGUAGACUUGACGGUACGGCGCAUGACGACGCGGCCACCGCCGUUGGAAGCUCCAACUUUGCGGAGGAGAUCGUUGGAGGGCUUGAGGGCCGUUUGGCCGGCGAAUGAAGAGUGUUGGAUUGCUGACGUGGCCAUUCUUUGAAUCUGAGAUGAU